This 460-nucleotide ribosomal RNA is filed under the name uncultured bacterium. Its description in RNAcentral is "partial 16S ribosomal RNA". It matches the Rfam family "Bacterial small subunit ribosomal RNA", at positions 338 to 795 of the family's 1533-position model. The record is from RNAcentral.
CCUACGGGGGACAGCAGUGAGGAAUAUUGGUCAAUGGUCGGGAGACUGAACCAGCCAAGCCGCGUGAGGGAUGAAGGUACAGAGUAUCGUAAACCUCUUUUGUCAGGGAACAAAGGCGGGGACGUGUCCCCGGAUGAGUGUACCUGAAGCAAAAGCAUCGGCUCACUCCGUGCCAGCAGCCGCGGUAAUACGGAGGAUGCGAGCGUUAUCCGGAUUUUUUGGGUUUAAAGGGUGCGCAGGCGGUCUGGUAAGUCAGCGGUGAAAGCCCGGGGCUCAACCCCGGACCGCCGGUUGAAACUGGCAGUCUCGAGUUGGAGAGAGGUAUGCGGAAUGCGCGGUGUAGCGGUGAAAUGCAUAGAUAUCGCGCAGAACUCCGAUUGCGAAGGCGGCAUGCCGGCUCCACACUGACGCUGAGGCACGAAAGCGUGGGUAGCGAACAGGAUUAGAUACCCUUGUAGUC